Salmo salar (Atlantic salmon) is the source of this 54-nucleotide non-coding RNA. The record is from Rfam. NCBI's taxonomy places the organism in Eukaryota, Metazoa, Chordata, Actinopteri, Salmoniformes, Salmonidae.
UGCACGCAUGACUGUAAGUCACUUAGGAUAAAAGUGUCUGCUAAAUGGCAUAUA